AGUGAACGCUGGCGGUAGGCCUAACACAUGCAAGUCGAACGGCAGCACAGUAAGAGCUUGCUCUUACGGGUGGCGAGUGGCGGACGGGUGAGGAAUACAUCGGAAUCUACUUUUUCGUGGGGGAUAACGUAGGGAAACUUACGCUAAUACCUCAUACGACCUACGGGUGAAAGCAGGGGAUCUUCGGACCUUGCGCGAUUGAAUGGGCCGAUGUCGGAUUAGCUAGUUGGCGGGGUAAAGGCCCACCAAGGCGACGAUCCGUAGCUGGUCUGAGAGGAUGAUCAGCCACACUGGAACUGAGACACGGUCCAGACUCCUACGGGAGGCAGCAGUGGGGAAUAUUGGACAAUGGGCGCAAGCCUGAUCCAGCCAUACCGCGUGGGUGAAGAAGGCCUUCGGGUUGUAAAGCCCUUUUGUUGGGAAAGAAAAGCAGCAGGUUAAUACCCCGCUGUUCUGACGGUACCCAAAGAAUAAGCACCGGCUAACUUCGUG
This 492-nucleotide ribosomal RNA is filed under the name uncultured bacterium. Its description in RNAcentral is "partial 16S ribosomal RNA". It matches the Rfam family "Bacterial small subunit ribosomal RNA", at positions 29 to 507 of the family's 1533-position model. The record is from RNAcentral.